Molecule: ribosomal RNA, 120 nt
Organism: Bos grunniens (domestic yak)
Lineage: Eukaryota; Metazoa; Chordata; Mammalia; Artiodactyla; Bovidae
Source: Ensembl
GUCUCAGGCCGUAUCAGCCUGAAGGCGCCCGAUCUCGUCUGAUCUCGGAAGCUAAGCAGGGUCGGGCCUGGUUAGUAUCUUGGAUGGGAGACCACCUGGGAAUCCCGGGCGCUCGAGGCU